Molecule: transfer RNA, 74 nt
Filed under: Chitinophaga silvisoli
Lineage: Bacteria; Pseudomonadati; Bacteroidota; Chitinophagia; Chitinophagales; Chitinophagaceae
Description: Chitinophaga sp. K20C18050901 tRNA-Gln
Rfam family: tRNA
About the family: Transfer RNA (tRNA) molecules are approximately 80 nucleotides in length. Their secondary structure includes four short double-helical elements and three loops (D, anti-codon, and T loops). Further hydrogen bonds mediate the characteristic L-shaped molecular structure. tRNAs have two regions of fundamental functional importance: the anti-codon, which is responsible for specific mRNA codon recognition, and the 3' end, to which the tRNAs corresponding amino acid is attached (by aminoacyl-tRNA synthetases). tRNAs cope with the degeneracy of the genetic code in two manners: having more than one tRNA (with a specific anti-codon) for a particular amino acid; and 'wobble' base-pairing, i.e. permitting non-standard base-pairing at the 3rd anti-codon position.
Source: RNAcentral
UGUCCUAUAGUAUAAUGGUAGUACAACUGAUUUUGGUUCAGUUUGUCUAGGUUCGAAUCCUGGUAGGACAACAA